RNAcentral lists this long non-coding RNA (212 nucleotides) under Elaeis guineensis (African oil palm). RNAcentral describes it as "long non-coding RNA (EGUI_LNC017314)". Lineage: Eukaryota; Viridiplantae; Streptophyta; Magnoliopsida; Arecales; Arecaceae. The record is from RNAcentral.
CCCUGGGUGUCAAGAGGUCUUGAAUGGUCAUGGUGAUUUCAAUCUCAAUAAUAUAUGGUUUGAGAAGUUUGGGUAAAAAGAUGAAUAUUGAUUUUUGGACUCAAAUUGCAACAAGUAAUGAUCCUCCAACUAUUGUACCAUUCUUGCAAAAAAAAUUAUAAAAUUAAUGACUACAAUUAUGUGAAGUGAUGUGCGAAAAGAAAUAAUAAUAA